RNAcentral lists this ribosomal RNA (274 nucleotides) under uncultured bacterium. Its description in RNAcentral is "partial 16S ribosomal RNA". It matches the Rfam family "Bacterial small subunit ribosomal RNA", at positions 523 to 796 of the family's 1533-position model. The record is from RNAcentral.
AUACGGAGGGUGCAAGCGUUGUUCGGAAUCACUGGGCGUAAAGGGCGCGUAGGCGGUUGUCUAAGUCAGAUGUGAAAGCCCACGGCUCAACCGUGGAACUGCAUUUGAAACUGGGCGACUUGAGUACGGGAGAGGGAAGUGGAAUUCCAGGUGUAGAGGUGAAAUUCGUAGAUAUCUGGAGGAACACCGGUGGCGAAGGCGGCUUCCUGGACCGAUACUGACGCUGAGGCGCGAAAGCGUGGGGAGCGAACAGGAUUAGAAACCCCAGUAGUCC